UACGUAGGGUGCGAGCGUUGUCCGGAAUUAUUGGGCGUAAAGAGCGUGUAGGCGGCCAGACAGGUCAGCUGUGAAAACUCGAGGCUCAACCUCGAGACGUCGGUUGAAACCGUCUGGCUAGAGUCCGGAAGAGGAGAGUGGAAUUCCCGGUGUAGCGGUGAAAUGCGCAGAUAUCGGGAAGAACACCCGUGGCGAAGGCGGCUCUCUGGGACGGUACUGACGCUGAGACGCGAAAGCGUGGGGAGCGAACAGG
This 253-nucleotide ribosomal RNA is filed under the name uncultured bacterium. Its description in RNAcentral is "partial 16S ribosomal RNA". It matches the Rfam family "Bacterial small subunit ribosomal RNA", at positions 524 to 776 of the family's 1533-position model. The record is from RNAcentral.